This is an RNA transcript of Bombina bombina (fire-bellied toad), 1035 nucleotides long. It is a transcript of the gene named serine and arginine rich splicing factor 3, with no coding region annotated. The record is from RefSeq and is a predicted model, not a curated record. Lineage: Eukaryota; Metazoa; Chordata; Amphibia; Anura; Bombinatoridae. The transcript has 6 exons.
UUUGUGCUCGAAGAAGGUAGGGAGAAGACCUGGGGCAGUAAUCGAGACAACGAAAGCUCAUCGAAGUCGUAUUCGCGUACCUUCGGUAAUUACAGAUACAGCAUGGCCAUGCAUCGCGACUCCUGUCCUUUGGACUGUAAAGUCUAUGUUGGGAACCUUGGUAACAAUGGUAACAAAACAGAAUUAGAAAGAGCGUUUGGCUACUAUGGCCCCCUACGGAGUGUGUGGGUUGCAAGAAACCCUCCUGGUUUUGCAUUUGUUGAAUUUGAAGACCCCAGAGAUGCGUCGGAUGCAGUUAGAGAGUUAGAUGGCAGAACACUGUGUGGAUGUCGAGUUAGAGUAGAGCUAUCCAAUGGUGAGAAAAGAAGUCGGAAUCGUGGGCCGCCUCCAUCUUGGAACAGACGUCCCCGGGAUGACUAUCGUCGCAGGAGUCCGCCACCGCGACGCAGAGUCACCAUCAUGUCUCUUCUCACCACCCUCUGGGUCUACAUUAGCCAGUCAACUAGCCCUUUCAGCGUCAUGUGACCAGCGCGCCCCAUUCAGCUUGGCUGGUGUCGUUUCACAUGACCCAGGCAUGGCCAGUCAUCAGGUUGCACCGCCCUUUGGUUCCCGAGCAUGCUGUCCACUCAGCCUUCCUCUCCAACCUUAACCAAAACUCUGCUGCAGCCCUCCUUCAGCGCCCACACAUUCCUGGCCAAUCAGCUCAGCUGUUAACUAUGUCAAAAUGUCUUCACAACAACUGCAGCGCCAGCCUUCGGCUAACCAAAAAAAGCAGGAAAAUUCCACAACAUCCCCCUUCGCCAACCAUCUAAAUUCAACGCAACUCCUGGCAAAACCUUUUCAACAAAUUCUACUUGGCCAUCUGUCCGGCAUCCUCACCAUUUCUAGCUUGUUGAAACCCUAAAACUAAUCUCCAAGAAGAAGAAGCUUUUCUCGUAGCCGCAGCAGAUCACUUUCAAGAGAACGGAGGAGAGAAAGAUCUCUGUCCAGGGAGAGAAAUCACAAGCCAUCUCGUUCAUUCUCUAGAUCACGAAG